GAUGAACGCUGGCGGCGUGCCUAAUACAUGCCAGUCGAGCGAACGGACGAGAAGCUUGCUUCUCUGAUGUUAGCGGCGGACGGGUGAGUAACACGUGGAUAACCUACCUAUAAGACUGGGAUAACUUCGGGAAACCGGAGCUAAUACCGGAUAAUAUUUUGAACCGCAUGGUUCAAAAGUGAAAGACGGUCUUGCUGUCACUUAUAGAUGGAUCCGCGCUGCAUUAGCUAGUUGGUAAGGUAACGGCUUACCAAGGCAACGAUGCAUAGCCGACCUGAGAGAGUGAUCGGCCACACUGGAACUGAGACACGGUCCAGACUCCUACGGGAGGCAGCAGUAGGGAAUCUUCCGCAAUGGGCGAAAGCCUGACGGAGCAACGCCGCGCGAGUGAUGAAGGUCUUCGGAUCGUAAAACUCUGUUAUUAGGGAAGAACAUAUGUGUAAGUAACUGUGCACAUCUUGACGGUACCUAAUCAGAAAGCCACGGCUAACUACGUG
This 497-nucleotide ribosomal RNA is filed under the name uncultured bacterium. RNAcentral describes it as "partial 16S ribosomal RNA". It matches the Rfam family "Bacterial small subunit ribosomal RNA", at positions 28 to 507 of the family's 1533-position model. The record is from RNAcentral.